GUUUUGUCUGGGUGCGGAAUAUUUGUAAGGGAUUUUUGUGGCAUUACAUUUGCCCAUAAAAUUAUAUUCUCAAUAACUAAAAUCGUGUUAAAUCAAACUUUGGCAGACUUUCUACUCAGACUAGAGUCAACUUAUUCAAUUGUGGUUCAGAAUAUCUGAAAGUUGCCAAACUACUUGGGUGUGAACAUGUUACUGAACAAACUCUCUGGCUCAAACUUCUGAAGAGACUCCGAAGGAUCUAGUUGGCUUUGUGAUGCUGCCUGACUUGCUGAGUGUUUCCAACAUUUUCUCCCUUCAUCUCUACACAAACACUGCUGACUAUGAGCCAAUUGGAAAAGCUCUCAGUUUGGAUUCAGUAUGGAGUGCAACUACGGCCAUCCCUUGGAGUGACUAUGUUGACUCCUAAUGAUGGAAUGCAAACCCAUGGUCAGCACCAUUACUCCACACUGAAUGAUGCACCGAGCAACACUAAAAUGGACGAGGACAAGAGCGGAAAAGGGACGUGUGUUCAGUGCCGCCUGCCUGCAUUUGACUGGUCUCUCUUUUACUGUUUCCAGCAGAAAAUGCAGGAGUCUUGGAUCCCACGCGUGCUGCAAUGUUCGAUUGCUUCGGCAGCUCUUGGAUGUGGAUUCACUUUCAGCUGUGGUUAGAUGUUUAAUGUCCUCAGCACUGAACGGGCUUUAAUAGUUGUUCAAUUUUAUCGAGACACUUUGGCACAGAAUUGGAUCUGCAGCUAUGGUUUGCAGCCAUUGACACAGUGCUGAACUGAGUGAUUCGGUGGCCGUAUUCGUGGCCGUUGGGCCCUGGACCAGCUUCACUUACCUUGGCAGCUCGUGGAUGUGGACUCUUUUUUGGGGAUUCCAUGGUUUGACAUUUAAUAUUCUGUGUUAUUUGUUUGCUUUAUGUUGUUUGCAUGAUUUGUUCUGUUUUUUGCACAUUUGUGUGGGUUUUUUCUUUAAACGGGUUCUUUGGUGUUUCUUCGUUUUAUGACUGCCUGCAAGAAGAAGAAUCUCAAGGUUGUAUACUGCACACAUACUUUAAUAAUGUAUUUAGGACUUGAUAAAUUUAUUCUUUGAGCCUGUCCUUGAGUGCUAUUACAUCUGAUGACUGGAUGCCACAUUAUACAAAUCUUUACUGGGUAAAUACCACUUUCAGGUUUGGACAACUCCAUGCAGAGUGCUUACUCUCUAUAUAUUGUCAUUUUGCAAUUCAUCCAAGGAACAAUGCUAGAUAAGGUUUGCUGAUGAGCCAGAAGUUAUCCACUGGCCUCAAAGUCCCAGCUUUGAUUCUGCCACCCAGGUUCUCAUCCUGCUGGAAUCGCAUCCAUUCUGGUUCUGGAUGUGGCUUCUCAAGGCCCAUAAUCUGACUGGACCACUUCAUUUUAUGAGAGGUAUGAGGCUUCUUGCCUAGCUCCUACUAGUUAAUGUUAAUGAAUUAUGUCAGAAAUGAGUAAAACUUGCUUGCAGCAGCUUCACAGACACAUAGGUACCGACAAAUUAUCCAAGACAGUGAAGAGAGAGCAAAAAAGUUAAUCAGAGACAAGUCCAUGGUUGUACAAGAAGUGUGUCGUUGUGUUCCAUUGCUGAGUAGGGUUCAAGUUGUGCAGAUUGGCUCAAGAACUUGUUAGUUGUAGGAAGGUAGCUGUUCCCGAGCCUGGUGGUGUAGGACUUCAAAUGCUUUGACUCUCAAAUGGGCUGGUACAACUGCAGAUUUUCUCUUGUUGGCACCCCUCAGGGUUAUUCAGUAACUGGCUGAUUGAUUAGCCAUUCAAAGCUGCACUGUGGAAAAUUGUACCCCUUAAUACAUACAUUUUGCAGACAGAGAAAGCAAAUAAUGUCAAGUAGGGGAUCUGUAAUAUACCCAGUAAAAUUCUCCUUAAAGGAAAAUUAAAUAGAUUGCAUAAUGAGUAAUUUACUACCCAUUUUCUCCCUACUAAAACUAUAUUUUACUACCUUUGUUUUCCAAAUGUUUUUCUGUGGUGACAACUUAAAGGUUAAUUCACAUCAUUCUUGAAAAUACUUUGCUAUUUUAUAUUUUUAAUCGCUUAAUUUUUAUGGAUCUGAUUAAUGGCUCUUAUGCGGAACAAACUGAUGUUAGUUCAGCAUAAUGUAUGUGUUUUUCCUUCAACAUCCUCAGGGACACAUAACUUGAACUAAGAAAAAGGAACUGUAUUUGCAAUCAUGCAUUACACUAUUUGUAAAUGACAUAAGUGUAUGUGUAUUGGAAUGGCUUCCUCUUAGCAGGAAUGCUGGUCGUAAUUUGCUAAACUGAAAAGGUAUGGCUGACAGAAUUCCAGUGGUCUUUAGAGAACAAGAUUAUAGAUAGUGUCAAACAUGGUUCUGUUUAAAAUUACAAAAUUGGUUUACAGCCUGUGGUUAACCACCCACGGUAUACAGCAUGCAGCAUAUAAUGUUUUGUGACAGAACUAAAGUGGUUGUCAUGUCUUCCAAGAAGUUUUGCAAGACAACUUUAUUCUUCUGUUUAAAAAUCAUUUUCAAGAACAAUUUUAUGCAUAUUUUUCAGAAACACAUUACUACAAGCUCUAAACCUGUGAGGACUAUUUUCAUCAUAUCCUGGGCUAAAUGUUUGUGAUUGCAACACCUUUUUGCUAAAAGGAUAUAGCAUAAGUGUUAGUUCUACUGAGUUAGUUGAACAAAAUGUCUCACUUCAGCGUUCUCAGAAACAAAGUAUUAAAUAAAGUUAGCAGUUUAUUGUGAUAAUGGGUCUUCAAUUGAAGCUGCAGUCACGGUACAAUAAUGUUACAACAUGGAUGGCUUAUUCUUUUCAGGUACAUUAACCCACCAACCUUAAAAAGCAGUUGCAUUUAACAAGACCCUAACAGACCAAAAGGAAAAUGGA
Molecule: long non-coding RNA, 2859 nt
Organism: Mobula hypostoma (lesser devil ray)
Lineage: Eukaryota; Metazoa; Chordata; Chondrichthyes; Myliobatiformes; Myliobatidae
Exons: 4
Source: RefSeq, a predicted model, not a curated record